AGCGAACGCUGGCGGCAGGCUUAACACAUGCAAGUCGAGCGGGCGUAGCAAUACGUCAGCGGCAGACGGGUGAGUAACGCGUGGGAACGUUACCUUUUGGUUCGGAACAACCCAGGGAAACGUUGGGCUAAUACCGGAUAAGCCCGUUACGGGGAAAGAUUUAUCGACCAAAAGAUCGGCCCGCGUCUGAUUAGCUAGUUGGUGAGGUAACGGCUCACCAAGGCGACGAUCAGUAGCUGGUCUGA
RNAcentral lists this ribosomal RNA (245 nucleotides) under uncultured bacterium. RNAcentral's name for it is "partial 16S ribosomal RNA". It matches the Rfam family "Bacterial small subunit ribosomal RNA", at positions 29 to 295 of the family's 1533-position model. The record is from RNAcentral.